AGAUGGCGACCGGCGCACGGGUGAGUAACACGUAUCCAACCUGCCGAUAACUCGGGGAUAGCCUUUCGGAAGAAAGAUUAAUACCCGAUGGCAUAAUUAGACCGCAUGGUCUUAUUAUUAAAGAAUUUCGGUUAUCGAUGGGGAUGCGUUCCAUUAGGCAGUUGGUGAGGUAACGGCUCACCAAACCUUCGAUGGAUAGGGGUUCUGAGAGGAAGGUCCCCCACAUUGGAACUGAGACACGGUCCAA
RNAcentral lists this ribosomal RNA (247 nucleotides) under uncultured bacterium. RNAcentral describes it as "partial 16S ribosomal RNA". It matches the Rfam family "Bacterial small subunit ribosomal RNA", at positions 86 to 334 of the family's 1533-position model. The record is from RNAcentral.